GACGAACGCUGGCGGCGUGCUUAACACAUGCAAGUCGAACGGAAAGGCCCUGCUUUUGUGGGGUGCUCGAGUGGCGAACGGGUGAGUAACACGUGAGUAACCUGCCCUUGACUUUGGGAUAACUUCAGGAAACUGGGGCUAAUACCGGAUAGGAGCUCCUGCUGCGUGGUGGGGGUUGGAAAGUUUCGGCGGUUGGGGAUGGACUCGCGGCUUAUCAGCUUGUUGGUGGGGUAGUGGCUUACCAAGGCUUUGACGGGUAGCCGGCCUGAGAGGGUGACCGGCAACAUUGGGACUGAGAUACGGCCCAGACUCCUACGGGAGGCAGCAGUGGGGAAUAUUGCACAAUGGGCGGAAGCCUGAUGCAGCAACGCCGCGUGCGGGAUGACGGCCUUCGGGUUGUAAACCGCUUUCGCCUGUGACGAAGCGUGAGUGACGGUAAUGGGUAAAGAAGCACCGGCUAACUACGUG
RNAcentral lists this ribosomal RNA (468 nucleotides) under uncultured bacterium. Its description in RNAcentral is "partial 16S ribosomal RNA". It matches the Rfam family "Bacterial small subunit ribosomal RNA", at positions 28 to 507 of the family's 1533-position model. The record is from RNAcentral.